RNAcentral lists this ribosomal RNA (780 nucleotides) under Staphylococcus aureus. RNAcentral's name for it is "partial 23S ribosomal RNA". It matches the Rfam family "Bacterial large subunit ribosomal RNA", at positions 206 to 984 of the family's 2925-position model. Lineage: Bacteria; Bacillati; Bacillota; Bacilli; Caryophanales; Staphylococcaceae. The record is from RNAcentral.
GUACCCGGAGGAAGAGAAAGAAAAUUCGAUUCCCUUAGUAGCGGCGAGCGAAACGGGAAGAGCCCAAACCAACAAGCUUGCUUGUUGGGGUUGUAGGACACUCUAUACGGAGUUACAAAGGACGACAUUAGACGAAUCAUCUGGAAAGAUGAAUCAAAGAAGGUAAUAAUCCUGUAGUCGAAAAUGUUGUCUCUCUUGAGUGGAUCCUGAGUACGACGGAGCACGUGAAAUUCCGUCGGAAUCUGGGAGGACCAUCUCCUAAGGCUAAAUACUCUCUAGUGACCGAUAGUGAACCAGUACCGUGAGGGAAAGGUGAAAAGCACCCCGGAAGGGGAGUGAAAUAGAACCUGAAACCGUGUGCUUACAAGUAGUCAGAGCCCGUUAAUGGGUGAUGGCGUGCCUUUUGUAGAAUGAACCGGCGAGUUACGAUUUGAUGCAAGGUUAAGCAGUAAAUGUGGAGCCGUAGCGAAAGCGAGUCUGAAUAGGGCGUUUAGUAUUUGGUCGUAGACCCGAAACCAGGUGAUCUACCCUUGGUCAGGUUGAAGUUCAGGUAACACUGAAUGGAGGACCGAACCGACUUACGUUGAAAAGUGAGCGGAUGAACUGAGGGUAGCGGAGAAAUUCCAAUCGAACCUGGAGAUAGCUGGUUCUCUCCGAAAUAGCUUUAGGGCUAGCCUCAAGUGAUGAUUAUUGGAGGUAGAGCACUGUUUGGACGAGGGGCCCCUCUCGGGUUACCGAAUUCAGACAAACUCCGAAUGCCAAUUAAUUUAACUUGGGAGU